RNAcentral lists this non-coding RNA (580 nucleotides) under Pan troglodytes (chimpanzee). The record is from RNAcentral. Lineage: Eukaryota; Metazoa; Chordata; Mammalia; Primates; Hominidae.
UUUUCCGAGACAAAGUCUCACUCUGUCACAGGCUGGAGUGCAAUGGCAGGAUUACGGCUCACUGCAGCCUGAAACUCUUGAACUCAAGCGAUCUUCCUGCCUCAGCCUCCCAAGUAGCUGGGACCACAGGCGUGAGCCACCAUGCCUGGCCACUGCUAUUUUUCUUAAUGAAAGAGGAAAUAUACAGAAUUGACAUUAAGACUAAAUGCAGGAAAAAUUGAUUCAGUAAACAUUUUAUGGUAAUUUCCCCAAGUUUUAACAAAUCAGUAGUUUAUAGUAACCAAAUCUUAACACACACUUUUAUUAUUACAACUAUAUUAACAUAAUUUAUUUUCUGUUCGGGAGGUACCAUAUCUGAAUUAAAGUCCAAGUCCCAUCUUAAUGGAGAAAAUUGAUUGCUGAAGCAAAAAGGUACAGAACAAACCAUUCAAUUUCAAUGGUCACAUUGUGAAGAAGCUUACCACUCAUUUAAUUUGACCAAAAAUGCUAUUAUUGAAGAUAAUUGAUGACAUAAUCCUAGUAUAUCCCUGAGUAACAGCAGAUAAGGAUUUAAGGUUGAGGAUAUUCCCCAAAUGCUCUU